UGAAUACGAGACGCUAAGGCGUCGAAGUAGUGUAUGUCAUACUUCCAAGAAAAGCUUGCACUGUCAUAAAUAAAUAAUGCCUGUACCAUAACCGACACAGGUGGGUAGGUAGAGUAUACUAAGGGGCGCGAGAUAACUCUCUCUAAGGAACUCGGCAAAAUAACUCCGUAACUUCGGGAGAAGGAGUGCCUUAUUCUUAAGGUUGCAAUAACAAGAUCCAAGCAACUGUUUAUCAAAAACACAGGUCUCCGCUAAGUCGCAAGACGAUGUAUGGGGGCUGACGCCUGCCCAGUGCCAGAAGGUUAAAGAAGUUGGUUAGCUUUUGCGAAGCUGAUAACUGAAGCCCUGGUGAACGGCGGCCGUAACCAUAACGGUCCUAAGGUAGCGAAAUUCCUUGUCGGGUAAGUUCCGACCCGCACGAAAGGCGUAAUGAUUUGGAUACUGUCUCGGAGAGGGGCUCGGUGAAAUAGACUUGUCUGUGAAGAUGCGGACUACCUGCACCAGGACAGAAAGACCCUAUGAAGCUUUACUGUAACUUGAAAUUGAAAUUGGACUUUAUUCGCGCAGUAUAGGUGGGAGGCGUUGAUUGUAAUCUUGCGGGAUUAUUGGAGCCAUCAGUGAGAUACCACUCUUGUAAUGUUAGAUUUCUAACUUUGUAUCAUUAUCUGGUCAAAGAACAGUUUCAGGCGGGCAGUUUGACUGGGGCGGUCGCCUCCUAAACGGUAACGGAGGCGUACAAAGGUUUCCUCUGAACGGUUAGAAAUCGUAUCUAGAGUGUAAAGGCAUAAGGAAGCUUGACUGUGAGACCUACAAGUCGAGCAGGGACGAAAGUCGGUCUUAGUGAUCUGACGGUACUGAGUGGAAAGGCCGUCACUCAACGGAUAAAAGUUACUCUGGGAUAACAGGCUGAUCUCCCCCAAGAGUUCACAUCGACGGGGAGGUUUGGCACCUCGAUGUCGGCUCAUCGCAUCCUGGGGCGGUAGUACGUCCCAAGGGUUGGGCUGUUCGCCCAUGAAAGCGGUACGCGAGCUGGGUUCAGAACGUCGUGAGACAGUUCGGUCCAUAUCCGGUGUAGGCGUUAGAAUAUUGAGAGGAGCCUUCUUUAGUACGAGAGGACCGAGAAGGACAUACCUCUGGUGUACCAGUUAUCGUGCCAACGGUAAACGCUGGGUAGCUAUGUAUGGAGUGGAUAACCGCUGAAAGCAUCUAAGUGGGAAGCCCACCUCAAGAUAAGUAUUCUCA
This 1242-nucleotide ribosomal RNA is filed under the name metagenome. RNAcentral describes it as "bacterial LSU rRNA". It matches the Rfam family "Bacterial large subunit ribosomal RNA", at positions 1564 to 2816 of the family's 2925-position model. The record is from RNAcentral.